UUUAUGCCUCUGCAUGAGGCUGCAGAAGAGCAGAGUGAUGCCACACAUGUGGAGCUAAGCUUUCCACCCAGCAGCAUGGGUUUUGCUGGUGAUGCCCCGUGUCUGAGAGGACACAGAAAAGGAUAUCCCAACUAAUCAACUGUAGCAUUAAUGGGACACCGGUGCUGCCGGAGGAGAGGCAGCAGAAGUUUGGAGCAUGUUGGUUGUGUACUUUGUGAACUUCUGCUGCGGAGAAAUGUCAAGGUAACCAGGGAGAACGCUGAUCCUAACUGAUCACUGGAGACACACUUUAAUUUCCCAGGAAAGGAUGUCAAGGAUGUCAUAAUCUUGGCAAGCAGAGAGACAGCACCUAUCACAUAUGGAAUAGCAGCAUCAAAGGGCUGAUGGUCUUUGUCCUUAAGACAGCUGCAGAGCAGUGCCUGUAGCCAGUAUACACAACACCAUGAGUCUGAAGGAGAAGGCUUUUAGAUCAAACCAGCAGCCUUGUGCAUCGCUGCUCUUUCUACAGAAGAACAUUUCUUCUAGAAGAAACUUUCUGAGAGAUGGCAGCCGGCAUCUUAUACUGCCUCUGGUGCACCAAAGACAAAGAAACUUUAAAACUUAAAUAUUAUCUCUGUAGAGCUAACCAGAGAUUUGGAGGCCAAAUAAACCCUUCUCUCUCCUCAUUUUUUUCUGCUAUUCCAUUUUAAUGCCUGUCAGCUUGAUACAAACCCUCACAUAUGUCUGUAGGUGCGUUAUUUGUUUGUUGCUGCUGCUUUAUUAUGCAGCACAAUGGAAAUUCUGCGGGAUGACCUGUUUGUAAGGUUGAUUCACAGUGGGGAAAAAAAAGGUAGGUCCUAUAUUCCACUUUACAACAACUAUCCUCCAGAAUUCAGGCCCAUAUAUCUGAAGGAUUAUGGUGCUGUAAAUGAACUUUUCUGAAGGUACUUUAAUAGUAUUUGUUUUGUCAUAAGCCAACGUUUCAAUAAUGAAAGAGAACCCUGCAUGCACCAAAAGCCCUGGUUAAGAGAGGAGUACAGUUUGCUACAGUUAAUGGGGGGUACGUGGCUAUCAUAUAAGUUUAUUAAAUCACAUAAAAUUUAAAUUUACACUAUAGUAUUCCAUGAAAGAUGGAGCACACAAAACCAAUAAGUAUGCCAAUUUAUUUCAUGUAUGAAUUGUAUUGUUGGUUGUGUUAAAGCUGCCAUUUUCAGAAGCAGGAUGAUUUAUGCUAGAACAGUCAUUUCCUGUCUCAGUUAAAUUUUGAAGAAGUUCAUUACAGAUUGGAGAUAAAAUGAAAGUGGUAUCAAUGCUAAUAAAAUGCUGAUAUAACAUUGUGUAUUGCUGGGAAGGGGGGAA
Molecule: long non-coding RNA, 1338 nt
Organism: Oxyura jamaicensis (ruddy duck)
Lineage: Eukaryota; Metazoa; Chordata; Aves; Anseriformes; Anatidae
Exons: 3
Source: RefSeq, a predicted model, not a curated record